This 1322-nucleotide long non-coding RNA is filed under the name Bos indicus x Bos taurus (hybrid cattle). RNAcentral's name for it is "lncRNA (ENSBIXG00000006355.1)". The record is from RNAcentral. Lineage: Eukaryota; Metazoa; Chordata; Mammalia; Artiodactyla; Bovidae.
GGUCAGGAACCCCAUGCUCCCCAAAUUACGUGGAGAGACACCAAACUUAAAGAGAGUCAGAGAUGUGACACGGGACAGGCAACAAGUAAGGGAACGUGACCUGAUUGUCUGAACACAAGAGAAUCCCGGAUAUUUGUGGGGUCUCAUGGGGCCAUUGGCAGAGUUUGAGCCUAAAACAAGGAUAAAGCCCUAGAGAGGGGAUGGCUGCACAUGCUCAGACAGAGGCCGGAGCAGGAUUCCAGAAGCCAGCACCAGAGAGGCCUCAUGGAGGUGCCCCACACCCAGGAAUGGGGAUUCGGGAGAUUCUGCUUCUCACGAUGAAUGCUUUGGGCACAUGGCUCACAACCCAGCUCUGCCUCUGAAGAGUGGAAUCCUCACUGCCAGCUCAGCUACAUCAGUGAUGUUUCCUGAGCCCCAGAUUUUAUCUCAUCAGGAUUCCAGAGCAUUAGACAGAUGGCCUCAUGUCUGGCUUGGAGGUGUAAUUCACUCUCUCAGUGAAAACCAUUUCCUCCUCACCGUGGACUUGAUCCAGAGGCUGCGCCCAUCUCGCCCACGUCAACAGUCCUGUGUCCUUGGCGGAGGACAGUGCUCUCAUUCUGGGCCUUUCCCUUCUUCCUCAGCCAAAGCCCAGUCCCUGCACCUCUGCGCAGCUACAAACAGGCUGAGUUCCCCGCAGCAGGGAAGGCCCCCGUCGGCUGUCGUUCUCAGGGGUGAGGGGAACCCGACACUUUCUCUACAUUUUCCCCAGCGCAGCCAGCUCUGUCCCAGGCCUUGGGGGUUCCAGGGUUGAGGCAGAAUCCAGCCACCCCUAACCUACAGAGCCAAAACAGUCCUGAGUGAACCUGCAGAAAUGUGAAAGCUGGGCAUUUCUGGGCAUUCCCAAGAACAGUCUUCCUGUGAGAGGGCAUGAGUUGAUUUGGGACAGAAGGCACUCGGUGGCCCAGGAAGGCCGCAUUGGGCAGGGUUUGGGGGGAGCCUCGUGCUGAGUGGAAGGGGCUCACAGAGCCUCUCUGGUUGGGUGGGAUCAGCUGCUCCAGCCAGGAGCCACCUGGCCCAGCUUUGGGAGAUGUGGAGAAUGGAUUUCACAGUGGUUUAGAUGGGGCCAUGGCACUGAAACAGCUGCAGGAGGGGGCACAGCUGGCGCGGCCCCUACCCCUUCCUGCAGAGCUGCUCUGGAGGAAGGCCCCCUCCCCAGAGGGAGUGAGAGGGUCCCACUUGCUGUGGUUCCAGGGGCCAUGAGAUGGUACCGCUAAGCUAAACCCCUGAUUUUGAGUGCACCAGUUGGCCUUUAUUAAAAUAAAACCCCAUUGUCACUUAUUCCA